This 21-nucleotide unclassified non-coding RNA is filed under the name Mus musculus (house mouse). RNAcentral's name for it is "oocyte_clustered_small_RNA8978". Lineage: Eukaryota; Metazoa; Chordata; Mammalia; Rodentia; Muridae. The record is from RNAcentral.
GAUGACGUGCCGGCAGUCGAG